RNAcentral lists this microRNA precursor (59 nucleotides) under Nautilus pompilius. RNAcentral describes it as "Npo-Mir-71_pre stem-loop". The record is from RNAcentral. Lineage: Eukaryota; Metazoa; Mollusca; Cephalopoda; Nautilida; Nautilidae.
UGAAAGACACGGGUAGUGAGAUGGUAAUGUCAACGCGUCUUACUACCCUGUCUUUUCCG